GACGAACGCUGGCGGCGUGCCUAAUACAUGCAAGUAGAACGCUGAAGAGAGGAGCUUGCUCUUCUUGGAUGAGUUGCGAACGGGUGAGUAACGCGUAGGUAACCUGCCUUUUAGCGGGGGAUAACUAUUGGAAACGAUAGCUAAUACCGCAUAACAAUGGAUGACCCAUGUCAUUUAUUUGAAAGGGGCAAAUGCUCCACUACAAGAUGGACCUGCGUUGUAUUAGCUAGUAGGUGAGGUAACGGCUCACCUAGGCGACGAUACAUAGCCGACCUGAGAGGGUGAUCGGCCACACUGGGACUGAGAAACGGCCCAGACUCCUACGGGAGGCAGCAGUAGGGAAUCUUCGGCAAUGGGGGCAACCCUGACCGAGCAACGCCGCGUGAGUGAAGAAGGUUUUCGGAUCGUAAAGCUCUGUUGUAAGUCAAGAACGAGUGUGAGAGUGGAAAGUUCACACUGUGACGGUAGCUUACCAGAAAGGGACGGCUAACUACGUG
This 497-nucleotide ribosomal RNA is filed under the name uncultured bacterium. RNAcentral describes it as "partial 16S ribosomal RNA". It matches the Rfam family "Bacterial small subunit ribosomal RNA", at positions 28 to 507 of the family's 1533-position model. The record is from RNAcentral.